AGGGUUGUAUUUCAACUGGUAGAAUAAUGGUCUCCAAAACCAUAGAUUUAGGUUCAAAUCCUAACAAUCCUG
RNAcentral lists this transfer RNA (72 nucleotides) under Caudoviricetes sp. Its description in RNAcentral is "tRNA-Trp". It matches the Rfam family "tRNA". Rfam says of the family: Transfer RNA (tRNA) molecules are approximately 80 nucleotides in length. Their secondary structure includes four short double-helical elements and three loops (D, anti-codon, and T loops). The record is from RNAcentral. Lineage: Duplodnaviria; Heunggongvirae; Uroviricota; Caudoviricetes.